CAGUCCUACUAACACCUCUCUCUACAGUCAAUUUUCCUUCUCUUGUUGUCAACCUGAAGAACUCAUCCUCGGCUGCAUCAACGCACACCCCAUUCACAUCACAAAUCUCUCCCUUCGGUGAUAAUGGAAGCAAGGUAUGUAUAACAGGUUCAGACUUCACAAGUGACACAAAUUUUGUGUACAAAAGUUCCACUUUAUCAACCUCCUCACUUACAAACAGUGAAAAGACAUCAUCUGCUAUUGCUUGAGCUUCUUUAGCUGUAGGGAGACCACCUUUUUCAAGAAACCUAUCAACUGGAAUAUAAGGCCUACGAAGAAAAUAAGUGUUGCCCUUCU
This 336-nucleotide long non-coding RNA is filed under the name Populus tremula. Its description in RNAcentral is "long non-coding RNA (PTRE_LNC002093)". The record is from RNAcentral. Lineage: Eukaryota; Viridiplantae; Streptophyta; Magnoliopsida; Malpighiales; Salicaceae.